AUGAUGACUUCCAAUGAGCAGAAACAAAGCAACGAGGCGCCGACUCCCGAGCUGCCGGACGAGCUCGUUUCAGAUAUCCUGACCCGACUGCCGGUCAAGUCUCUCCUCCGUUUUAAGUGCAUCAGCAAGGCCUGGUGCGCAACCAUAUCCGACCCCUCCUUCAUCCGGCGGCACCUCAAGAUGUCCGCCGCCUGCAGAUGGGAGCAGAACCCACCCUUCCUCAUCACCCGGCACAGCCUGGAUUACGACGGCAAAGGAGACAUCGGGUUCUGCCAGUGGCAGCAAGGCACCUCCGAGGCUUGGCUCGUGCACAGCAGGGACUGUACUAGCUACUUCAACUUGGUUCUCUUCUUCCCCCAUUGUGACGGCUUGGUGCUUGUCCCCACAGACACCACGGCGUACCUUUUCAACCCCGCCACCAGGGACAUCGUCACGCUGCCGGAGAGCAGCCACGGCAUUGUGCCCCCUUCCCUCCGCCCCAUUGGGUUUGGCCAUGAUCUUCGCAGUGGCAUGUACAAGGUAGUCCAGUUCUUCCUUCGUUCGAGAGACGAUGAGUUCUACAACGGGGUGGAGGUGUGCACGGUGGGCGACCCUGCUCCUCCUCAAUGGAGGGAAAUCAUGGCGGAUCGGUGGUACACAGCCGAUCCAUGGGUAACCGCGCAAUCGGUCAAUGGGGGUGUGUACUGGAUCGUCCAUGUUGACAACUAUACCGGCCUGGAGCCGCAUCCACGUUGCCUCCUCCGCUUCGGCUUGGACGAUGAGGCAUUGAGCCACAUCCAUUUGCCUUCUGAACUGUCCGACCCCGAAGACGAUGACAACAAUGUUGAUAAAAGCUUCAAGUUGAGUGUGUUGCAGGGAGAGUUGUGUCUAACCGCUUAUCGCGCCAGAGGGCAUCGACUGAUGGUGGUCUGGGCGCUCGUGGAAGACGAGGCAAGCUUCGUCUGGGAACCGCGUCACACGUUGAAUGGCAUGGACCCGUGCCACCCAAUCGCUUUUCUUCCGGGCACAUUGUUGCUAUGGUUCUAUGGCAAGCUCUGCAUCUACGACCUGCGGUCACGUGAGCUGACAAAUGUUUGUGACUUCAGCUGGCUAAGAUAUCGGAGUCAUGGCUCAGGUGAACUUGAGCCUGCUUGGAACAGUUUGCCCUUCUUCGACGUGAUACCCUAUACAGAAAGUCUUGUUCCAGUCGGUGCUCACCCGGCUUGA
Molecule: ribosomal RNA, 1206 nt
Filed under: Triticum aestivum (bread wheat)
Lineage: Eukaryota; Viridiplantae; Streptophyta; Magnoliopsida; Poales; Poaceae
Description: partial small subunit ribosomal RNA
Source: RNAcentral